Camelina sativa (false flax) is the source of this 1369-nucleotide long non-coding RNA. RefSeq lists it as uncharacterized. Lineage: Eukaryota; Viridiplantae; Streptophyta; Magnoliopsida; Brassicales; Brassicaceae. The record is from RefSeq and is a predicted model, not a curated record.
CUCCUAGACGUGAUUCUCUUUAGGGUUUUGAAUCAACUACUCUUGAUUCUUCGUGUUCACCAAGAGAUCCGGAUCUCAACGCCGAGAUUGAAUCGUGUUGACCGCCGAUUGUUUCUCCUCUCCGAGAUCUCCAGAGAAAAGGAGACUGGCUCUCACUACAGCUGGUUCGGCUUCUGGGAUUGCAUCAGGUAUUAUCCAGACCUACCUCUUCAGAACAGAUCAUAGAGGAAAGGCGGAGCGAUUGGGCUUAUUCGAAGCUUGUGGUGGUGCUUGACAUCGUUUGGAACGGUUGUUGCCACAGCUGUUUUCGGUUAUGAGAAUUUGUUUAUGAGCUUUUAUGUUCUACAAAACAAUUGGGAAUGGCUCAAGCACGAGCUGCUGAAUUAGAGAAGCAGAUCCUUGCAUUAACAGUUUUGACCAUCCUACAAAUAUAAUCCUUAAUGAAUCUCAUCUCAUGAACGGGUGUUUUCCACAAAGGUUUCAAUGCGGGUUGUUUCUUUGCUAUUGAGACCGUUUUAAGACCUCUACGUGCUGAAAACUCGCCUCCAUUUACCACUGCAGUGAUAACAUUGGCCUAUGUUAUAUCCUCGUCUGUGUCAAAUGCGCUGCUUGGGACUCAAUCAGCUUUCACAGUUCCCUCAUACGACCUGCAGUCCGCUGCAGUAAAAAGCAGUGUGAUAUUUUUUUUUUUUGAAGAUUGUGCAAUUUGCGCAAUGGUUUGGUGAGUCUUCUAUUUAAAGUGUCAACAUACACUCACGACUUCCAUGAGUCUAAAGAGGUUAAAGAGAAGGCCACUCAAUGAGGAAGCUAACGUUGAAGACAUUUCAUCAACUGCACCUUGGACUAAUUAGAGAUGAGUUGAUAUUUUGGGAUUUUAUAACCUAUGAAACUAUUGGUUAGGUUAUUUUUUUGGAUGUGGCCUAUGAUAUUUUGUCUACGUUUAACCUAGAUAACAAUCAAUUGUUAACCGUUUGGUUUAUCGUUUUCUUUAUCUUUGUUAACUGCAUCUUCUGUACCCAUUAUGGAUUUAAAAACAAAAAGAAAUAUUGUAUAUUAUUGUAAAAUAACAUCUUAAGGUAUUUGAUGUAGAGAUGUUUGAGAAAAUGGAUCAAAGGAUGGAGAAAUAGUAGAGAUGUUAGAGAAAAGAAGUGGGUGAGCUUAAUGAAGUGAUAUAUGGGAAAUAAUAUCUACUUAGAAGCUAUAAGGAGUAGAAGAUGGAGCCUUUGCAGAAGAUAAAAAAGUUGCAACAGAGACGAGGGACAGAGAUUUGUUUGGUUGUAAUUAAUAGAAUUUUAGGGUGAAUGUGAGGUUUUAUGUAUAACUAGAUCACUUAGAUACAACUGAGAAAAUUUCAGUAUAAUUUGAACUA